This 408-nucleotide ribosomal RNA is filed under the name uncultured bacterium. RNAcentral's name for it is "bacterial SSU rRNA". It matches the Rfam family "Bacterial small subunit ribosomal RNA", at positions 9 to 414 of the family's 1533-position model. The record is from RNAcentral.
GAGUUUGAUCUUGGCUCAGAUUGAACGCUGGCGGCAGGCCUAACACAUGCAAGUCGAACGGUAACAGGAAGAAGCUUGCUUCUUUGCUGACGAGUGGCGGACGGGUGAGUAAUGUCUGGGAAACUGCCUGAUGGAGGGGGAUAACUACUGGAAACGGUAGCUAAUACCGCAUAACGUCGCAAGACCAAAGAGGGGGACCUUCGGGCCUCUUGCCAUCGGAUGUGCCCAGAUGGGAUUAGCUAGUAGGUGGGGUAACGGCUCACCUAGGCGACGAUCCCUAGCUGGUCUGAGAGGAUGACCAGCCACACUGGAACUGAGACACGGUCCAGACUCCUACGGGAGGCAGCAGUGGGAAUAUUGCACAUGGGCGCAAGCCUGAUGCAGCCAUCGCCGCGUGUAUGAAGAAGG